RNAcentral lists this transfer RNA (72 nucleotides) under Lagocephalus lunaris (lunartail puffer). RNAcentral's name for it is "tRNA-Val". It matches the Rfam family "tRNA". Rfam says of the family: Transfer RNA (tRNA) molecules are approximately 80 nucleotides in length. Their secondary structure includes four short double-helical elements and three loops (D, anti-codon, and T loops). The record is from RNAcentral. Lineage: Eukaryota; Metazoa; Chordata; Actinopteri; Tetraodontiformes; Tetraodontidae.
CAGGACAUGGCUUAAACAGAAAAGCACCUCUUUUACACUGAGGAGAUAUUCGUGCAAAUCGGAUUGCCCUGA